AUUGAACGCUGGCGGCAGGCCUAACACAUGCAAGUCGAACGAGUGGCGGACGGGUGAGUAAUGUCUGGGAACCUGCCUGAUGGAGGGGGAUAACUACCGGAAACUGUAGCUAAUACCGCAUAGCCGCGUAUGUGCCCAGGUGGGAUUGGCUAGUAGGUGGGGUAAAGGCUCACCUAGGCGACGAUCCGUAGCUGGUCUGAGAGGAUGACCAGACAAACUGGAACUGAGACACGGUCCAGACUCCUACGGGAGGCAGCAGUGGGGAAUAUUGCACAAUGGGCGCAAGCCUGAUGCAGCCAUGCCGCGUGUAUGAAGAAGGCCUUCGGGUUGUAAAGUACUUUCAGCGGGGAGGCGUUACCCGCAGAAGAAGCACCGGCUAACUCCGUGCCAGCAGCCGCGGUAAUUC
RNAcentral lists this ribosomal RNA (406 nucleotides) under uncultured bacterium. RNAcentral describes it as "partial 16S ribosomal RNA". It matches the Rfam family "Bacterial small subunit ribosomal RNA", at positions 30 to 526 of the family's 1533-position model. The record is from RNAcentral.